GACGAACCGUGCGAACGUUAUUCGGAAUCACUGGGCUUAAAGCGCGUGUAGGCGGGCCGCCGCGUCGGCUGCUGAAAUCCCCCGGCUCAACCGGGGAACGGGCACCGAUACGGGCGGCCUCGAGGGGGGUAGGGGGGCCUGGAACUUCCGGUGGAGCGGUGAAAUGCGUUGAGAUCGGAAGGAACGCCCGUGGCGAAAGCGAGGCCCUGGAUCCUUUACUGACGCUGAGACGCGAAAGCCAGGGGAGCGAACGGG
RNAcentral lists this ribosomal RNA (255 nucleotides) under uncultured bacterium. RNAcentral describes it as "partial 16S ribosomal RNA". It matches the Rfam family "Bacterial small subunit ribosomal RNA", at positions 524 to 776 of the family's 1533-position model. The record is from RNAcentral.